GCGGAGGAAAAGAAACUAACCAGGAUUGUCUCAGUAAGGGCGACUGAAGAGACAAUAGCUCACUAUGUGAAUCGGUGACCGAAUUGUGGUCUCACCCAUGCUAGGGGCUGGGCUAAGUCCGUUGGAACACGGCAGCAGAGAGGGUGAUACUCCCGUGUGCCUGGCCCAUGGAGUGGGUGUUGUUGAGUCGAGUUGUUUGGGAUUGCAGCUCUAAGCAGGUGGUAAAUUCCAUCUAAGGCUAAAUACUGGUGGGAGACCGAUAGCGUACAAGUACCGUGAGGGAAAGAUGCAAAGAAGCGCGGAAGCGCUGUUAAAGAGUACCUGAAAUUGCUGAAGUGGAAGCGAAGGGAACCAGUGCCAGCUGCUCCAUACUUCUCUGUUUGCUUGCGGACAGAGCGCUGUGGUCAGCGUUGUACUGCUUGGUUGGUUGGGGUGGAAGAGCGCUGGGGGAGUUGACCCCUGUUGC
This 466-nucleotide ribosomal RNA is filed under the name Halamphora parvipunctata. RNAcentral describes it as "eukaryotic LSU rRNA". It matches the Rfam family "Eukaryotic large subunit ribosomal RNA", at positions 50 to 549 of the family's 3401-position model. The record is from RNAcentral. Lineage: Eukaryota; Bacillariophyta; Bacillariophyceae; Naviculales; Amphipleuraceae.